This 173-nucleotide small nuclear RNA is filed under the name Balaenoptera musculus (blue whale). RNAcentral describes it as "U2 spliceosomal RNA (ENSBMSG00010010971.1)". The stretch from base 1 to 121 matches the Rfam family "U2 spliceosomal RNA". From Rfam's summary of the family: U2 is a small nuclear RNA (snRNA) component of the spliceosome (involved in pre-mRNA splicing). The record is from Rfam by way of RNAcentral. Lineage: Eukaryota; Metazoa; Chordata; Mammalia; Artiodactyla; Balaenopteridae.
AUCACUUUUCGGCCUUUUGGCUAAGAUCAAGUUUAGUAUCUGUUCUUAUCAGUAAAAACGUUGGUCACUUAUUAAUUUAUAGGUAAGAACAAGUGUCCCACUGAAGAUGAAGUGACCUAUCUAAAGUCAGGAAUAUUAUUUCAUGACACAGCGAAAGCUCUAUUCCAACAUAC